RNAcentral lists this unclassified non-coding RNA (339 nucleotides) under soil metagenome. Its description in RNAcentral is "partial contains 5.8S ribosomal RNA, internal transcribed spacer 2, and large subunit ribosomal RNA". The stretch from base 1 to 120 matches the Rfam family "5.8S ribosomal RNA", at positions 35 to 154 of the family's 154-position model. The record is from RNAcentral.
GAUGAAGAACGUAGUGAAAUGCGAUAAGUAGUGUGAAUUGCAGAAUUCAGUGAAUCAUCGAAUCUUUGAACGCACAUUGCGCCCCCUGGUAUUCCGGGGGGCAUGCCUGUCCGAGCGUCAUUGCUGCCCUCAAGCACGGCUUGUGUGUUGGGCUCCGUCCCCCCGGGGACGGGCCCGAAAGGCAGCGGCGGCACCGAGUCCGGUCCUCGAGCGUAUGGGGCUUUGUCACCCGCUCUGUAGGCCCGGCCGGCGCCAGCCGACAACCCAUCAUCCUUUUCAGGUUGACCUCGGAUCAGGUAGGGAUACCAGCUGAACUUAAGCAUAUCAAUAAGCGGAGGA